ACGACCUUACUUGAACAGGAUCUGUUCUAUAGGCUCGUACUUCUGUAUCCUUGAGUUCUAAGGAGACAGGAACCUAAGUCUGGUUGAUGAACCAUGGCUGUGCGAUCAGAGCGUGAGUGACAGCGUUGUGGCCUUAGGGCCAUUAAUGCAGUAGAGGAUCGUUCUCAGCCCAUGAUUGUGGCUGGGAUGGUCGCACCGCUGUCUGACAGACU
Small nucleolar RNA from Corylus avellana, 212 nucleotides. RefSeq annotates it as small nucleolar RNA U3. The record is from RefSeq and is a predicted model, not a curated record. Lineage: Eukaryota; Viridiplantae; Streptophyta; Magnoliopsida; Fagales; Betulaceae.